GCCUUCGUGGUGUAAUGGCCAACACAUUUGACACGCAUUUGAGAAGUCCGAGGUUCGAGUCCCGGUGAGGGCA
This 73-nucleotide transfer RNA is filed under the name Stegodyphus mimosarum. It matches the Rfam family "tRNA". From Rfam's summary of the family: Transfer RNA (tRNA) molecules are approximately 80 nucleotides in length. Their secondary structure includes four short double-helical elements and three loops (D, anti-codon, and T loops). Lineage: Eukaryota; Metazoa; Arthropoda; Arachnida; Araneae; Eresidae. The record is from Rfam by way of RNAcentral.